RNAcentral lists this ribosomal RNA (333 nucleotides) under Crymostygius thingvallensis. RNAcentral describes it as "5.8S ribosomal RNA". The stretch from base 5 to 166 matches the Rfam family "5.8S ribosomal RNA". The record is from RNAcentral. Lineage: Eukaryota; Metazoa; Arthropoda; Malacostraca; Amphipoda; Crymostygidae.
AUACAACUCUGAGCGGUGGAUCACUUGGCCUGUGGACGCUAUGAAGACCAUAGCUAAAUGUGAGAAUGGCAGUGAGUCGUUGCUAUAUGCGCUGUCCCCUUCUUAUCAUAAGCCGAAUGCACAUUGCGCCCCACCCAGUGGUUGGCGCUACACCGGUCCAAUGCUGGCAGAUCGGAACAAUCGCAAAGGUGUGGCCCUCGAUCAAGAACGAAAAGCGGUCGGGAUAAAAAGAAAAUUUAAAAAAAGGGGCCAGGAGCACUGUUGUGUGCGAUCCGAAUCUCGUACUAGUAGGCCGGCCAAUCCUAUGGUGGGGCACUCCUAGUCGAGUGUGGU